UCCAGACUCCUACGGGAGGCAGCAGUGGGGAAUAUUGCACAAUGGGGGAAACCCUGAUGCAGCGACGCCGCGUGAGUGAAGAAGUAUUUCGGUAUGUAAAGCUCUAUCAGCAGGGAAGAAAAAAGACGGUACCUGACUAAGAAGCCCCGGCUAACUACGUGCCAGCAGCCGCGGUAAUACGUAGGGGGCAAGCGUUAUCCGGAAUUACUGGGUGUAAAGGGUGCGUAGGUGGCAUGGUAAGUCAGAAGUGAAAGCCCGGGGCUUAACCCCGGGACUGCUUUUGAAACUGUCAUGCUGGAGUGCAGGAGAGGUAAGCGGAAUUCCUAGUGUAGCGGUGAAAUGCGUAGAUAUUAGGAGGAACACCAGUGGCGAAGGCGGCUUACUGGACUGUCACUGACACUGAUGCACGAAAGCGUGGGGAGCAAACAGGAUUAGAUACCCGCGUAA
Molecule: ribosomal RNA, 447 nt
Filed under: uncultured bacterium
Lineage: Bacteria
Description: bacterial SSU rRNA
Rfam family: Bacterial small subunit ribosomal RNA
Source: RNAcentral